CGCUAGUACCGCAUACGUCCUACGGGAGAAAGCAGGGGACCUUCGGGCCUUGCGCUAUCAGAUGAGCCUAGGUCGGAUUAGCUAGUUGGUGGGGUAAUGGCUCACCAAGGCGACGAUCCGUAACUGGUCUGAGAGGAUGAUCAGUCACACUGGAACUGAGACACGGUCCAGACUCCUACGGGAGGCAGCAGUGGGGAAUAUUGGACAAUGGGCGAAAGCCUGAUCCAGCCAUGCCGCGUGUGUGAAGAAGGUCUUCGGAUUGUAAAGCACUUUAAGUUGGGAGGAAGGGCCGUUACCUAAUACGUGAUGGUUUUGACGUUACCGACAGAAUAAGCACCGGCUAACUCUGUGCCAGCAGCCGCGGUAAUACAGAUGCAA
This 378-nucleotide ribosomal RNA is filed under the name Pseudomonas sp. Its description in RNAcentral is "bacterial SSU rRNA". It matches the Rfam family "Bacterial small subunit ribosomal RNA", at positions 161 to 537 of the family's 1533-position model. Lineage: Bacteria; Pseudomonadati; Pseudomonadota; Gammaproteobacteria; Pseudomonadales; Pseudomonadaceae. The record is from RNAcentral.